UACGUAGGUGACAAGCGUUGUUCGGAUUCAUUGGGCGUAAAGGGCAUGUAGGUGGUGUAAUAAGUGUGAAUUGAAAGACCGGGGCUUAACCCCGAGUUUGGUUUGCAAACUGUUAUACUAGAGUAUGGGAGAGGAGACUGGAAUUCCGCGUGUAGGGGUGAAAUCUGUAGAUAUGCGGAAGAAUACUUAUGGCGAAGGCAAGUCUCUGGCCUGUAACUGACGCUGAAAUGCGAAAGUGUGGGGAGCAAACAGGAUUAGAUACCCUGGUAGUCCACACUGUAAACGUUGUACACUAGGUGUUAGGGGAUAGAACCCCUGGUGCCGAAGCAAACGCGUUAAGUGUACCGCCUGGGGAGUAUGCUCGCAAGGGUGAA
Molecule: ribosomal RNA, 374 nt
Filed under: uncultured bacterium
Lineage: Bacteria
Description: bacterial SSU rRNA
Rfam family: Bacterial small subunit ribosomal RNA
Source: RNAcentral